RNAcentral lists this ribosomal RNA (253 nucleotides) under uncultured bacterium. Its description in RNAcentral is "partial 16S ribosomal RNA". It matches the Rfam family "Bacterial small subunit ribosomal RNA", at positions 524 to 776 of the family's 1533-position model. The record is from RNAcentral.
UACAGAGGGUGCAAGCGUUAAUCGGAAUUACUGGGCGUAAAGCGCACGUAGGCGGAUUGUUAAGUCGGGGGUGAAAUCCUGGAGCUCAACUCCAGAACUGCCUCCGGAACUGGCGAUCUUGAGUUCGGGAGAGGUGAGUGGAACUGCGAGUGUAGAGGUGAAAUUCGUAGAUAUUCGGAGGAACACCAGUGGCGAAGGCGGCUCACUGGCUCGGUACUGACGCUGAGGUGCGAAAGCGUGGGGAGCAAACAGG